RNAcentral lists this ribosomal RNA (301 nucleotides) under uncultured bacterium. RNAcentral describes it as "partial 16S ribosomal RNA". It matches the Rfam family "Bacterial small subunit ribosomal RNA", at positions 509 to 807 of the family's 1533-position model. The record is from RNAcentral.
CAGCAGCCACGGGAAUACGAAGGGGGCUAGCGUUGCUCGGAAUCACUGGGCGUAAAGGGUGCGUAGGCGGGUUUUUAAGUCAGAGGUGAAAUCCUGGAGCUCAACUCCAGAACUGCCUUUGAUACUGAAAGUCUUGAGUAUGGGAGAGGUGAGUGGAACUGCGAGUGUAGAGGUGAAAUUCGUAGAUAUUCGCAAGAACACCAGUGGCGAAGGCGGCUCACUGGCCCAUAACUGACGCUGAGGCACGAAAGCGUGGGGAGCAAACAGGAUUAGAGACCCGAGUAGUCCCUGUCUCUUAUAC